This 253-nucleotide ribosomal RNA is filed under the name uncultured bacterium. RNAcentral's name for it is "partial 16S ribosomal RNA". It matches the Rfam family "Bacterial small subunit ribosomal RNA", at positions 524 to 776 of the family's 1533-position model. The record is from RNAcentral.
UACGAGGGGGGCAAGCGUUGUUCGGAAUUAUUGGGCGUAAAGGGCGCGUAGGCGGUGCGGUAAGUCUGAUGUGAAAUCUCCGGGCUCAACUCGGAGUCUGCAUCAGAAACUGCCGUGCUUGAGUGUGGGAGAGGUGAGUGGAAUUCCCGGUGUAGCGGUGAAAUGCGUAGAUAUCGAGAGGAACACCAGUGGCGAAGGCGAGUCCCUGGACAACACCUGACACUGAGGCACGAAAGCUAGGGGAGCAAACAGG